RNA transcript from Aethalodelphis obliquidens (Pacific white-sided dolphin), 776 nucleotides. It is a transcript of the gene named cytochrome c oxidase subunit NDUFA4 pseudogene, with no coding region annotated. The record is from RefSeq and is a predicted model, not a curated record. Lineage: Eukaryota; Metazoa; Chordata; Mammalia; Artiodactyla; Delphinidae. The transcript has a single exon.
CGCGCUCAUGCCUGGGUGUUCACAUGCUUGGGCAUGGUGGGGGGAGAGGAGAAAGAGAGAGAGAGCGCGUGAGAGAGCACGCAAGCCACCAUUUAGUCACUUGGAUACAGCUGUGCCUGAAACUGGAUACACACCACCGAUAAAUUCCCAUAGUGCUUCAGCAAAUUUGAGUUGGUUUCCCGGGCUCUCUAGCAAAAUAACUUGAAUAAUACAACAACACAGAGCAAGCCUCAAACUAGUCUGCUUCUCAGUGGAACAUCCCACGGUGAAAGCAGUUGUCAAGAAAAAGGAAUACAGUAGACUGUUUAGUCCCAGGCCUUGAAAGUUUGUCGUUCUCUCCGUCUGGACUCGAGGCUUCUGUCGCAACCAUGCUUCUCCAGAUCAUCAUUCAGGCCAAGAGGCAUCCUAGCUUGAUCCCUAUCUUCAUAUUUACUGGAGUGGGAGGUACUGGAGCAGCGCUGUAUGUCUCGCACCUGGCGUUGUUCAAUCCAGAUGUCAGUUGGAACAGAAAGGAUAACCCAGAACCCUGGAACAAACUGGGUCCCAAUGAUCAGUACAAGUUCUAUUCAGUGAAUGUAGAUUACAGCAAACUGAAGAGAGAAGGUCCAGACUUCUAAAUGAAAUGUUUCACUAUAAAACUGCUUAGAAUGAAGUUCUUCCAGAAGCCACCUGCACAAUUUUCCACUUAACCAGGAAAUAUUUCCCCUCUAAAUGCACGAAAUCAUGUUGGUGUAUUGUGCUGGGGUUUACACUGAUUAAUAAAUAGUCUGAAACUU